GAUGAGCGCUGGCGGCGUGCCUAAUACAUGCAAGUCGAGCGAACGGACGAGAAGCUUGCUUCUCUGAUGUUAGCGGCGGACGGGUGAGUAACACGUGGAUAACCUACCUAUAAGACUGGGAUAACUUCGGGAAACCGGAGCUAAUACCGGAUAAUAUUUUGAACCGCAUGGUUCAAAAGUGAAAGACGGUCUUGCUGUCACUUAUAGAUGGAUCCGCGCUGCAUUAGCUAGUUGGUAAGGUAACGGCUUACCAAGGCAACGAUGCAUAGCCGACCUGAGAGGGUGAUCGGCCACACUGGAACUGAGACACGGUCCAGACUCCUACGGGAGGCAGCAGUAGGGAAUCUUCCGCAAUGGGCGAAAGCCUGACGGAGCAACGCCGCGUGAGUGAUGAAGGUCUUCGGAUCGUAAAACUCUGUUAUUAGGGAAGAACAUAUGUGUAAGUAACUGUGCACAUCUUGACGGUACCUAAUCAGAAAGCCACGGCUAACUACGUGCCAGCAGCCGCGGUAAUACGUAGGUGGCAAGCGUUAUCCGGAAUUAUUGGGCGUAAAGCGCGCGUAGGCGGUUUUUUAAGUCUGAUGUGAAAGCCCACGGCUCAACCGUGGAGGGUCAUUGGAAACUGGAAAACUUGAGUGCAGAAGAGGAAAGUGGAAUUCCAUGUGUAGCGGUGAAAUGCGCAGAGAUAUGGAGGAACACCAGUGGCGAAGGCGACUUUCUGGUCUGUAACUGACGCUGAUGUGCGAAAGCGUGGGGAUCAAACAGGAUUAGAUACCCUGGUAGUCCACGCCGUAAACGAUGAGUGCUAAGUGUUAGGGGGUUUCCGCCCCUUAGUGCUGCAGCUAACGCAUUAAGCACUCCGCCUGGGGAGUACGACCGCAAGGUUGAAACUCAAAGGAAUUGACGGGGACCCGCACAAGCGGUGGAGCAUGUGGUUUAAUUCGAAGCAACGCGAAGAACCUUACCAAAUCUUGACAUCCUUUGACAACUCUAGAGAUAGAGCCUUCCCCUUCGGGGGACAAAGUGACAGGUGGUGCAUGGUUGUCGUCAGCUCGUGUCGUGAGAUGUUGGGUUAAGUCCCGCAACGAGCGCAACCCUUAAGCUUAGUUGCCAUCAUUAAGUUGGGCACUCUAAGUUGACUGCCGGUGACAAACCGGAGGAAGGUGGGGAUGACGUCAAAUCAUCAUGCCCCUUAUGAUUUGGGCUACACGCGUGCUACAAUGGACAAUACAAAGGGCAGCGAAACCGCGAGGUCAAGCAAAUCCCAUAAAGUUGUUCUCAGUUCGGAUUGUAGUCUGCAACUCGACUACAUGAAGCUGGAAUCGCUAGUAAUCGUAGAUCAGCAUGCUACGGUGAAUACGUUCCCGGGUCU
Molecule: ribosomal RNA, 1372 nt
Filed under: uncultured bacterium
Lineage: Bacteria
Description: bacterial SSU rRNA
Rfam family: Bacterial small subunit ribosomal RNA
Source: RNAcentral